ACGAGAGUGCCUCGCAAGAGGAGCCUGGAGACAGGUGCUGCAUGGCUGUCGUCAGCUCGUGUCGUGAGAUGUGGUAGUCCGCAACGAGCGCAACCCCUACGUUUAGUUGCUAACGCGUGAAGGCGAGCACUCUAGACGAACUGCCGUUGACAAACGGAGGAAGGUGGGGAUGACGUCAAAUCAUCAUGCCCCUUAUGUUCUGGGCUACACACGUGCUACAAUGGCCGGUACAGACGGACGCAAAGCCGCGAGGUGGAGCAAAUCCUAAAAAGCCGGUCUCAGUUCGGAUUGCAGGCUGCAAUUCGCCUGCAUGAAGUCGGAAUCGCUAGUAAUCGCAGGUCAGCAUACUGCGGUGAAUACGUUCCCGGGCCUU
This 373-nucleotide ribosomal RNA is filed under the name uncultured Pelotomaculum sp. RNAcentral describes it as "bacterial SSU rRNA". It matches the Rfam family "Bacterial small subunit ribosomal RNA", at positions 1006 to 1382 of the family's 1533-position model. The record is from RNAcentral. Lineage: Bacteria; Bacillati; Bacillota; Clostridia; Eubacteriales; Desulfotomaculaceae.